Molecule: ribosomal RNA, 458 nt
Filed under: uncultured bacterium
Lineage: Bacteria
Description: bacterial SSU rRNA
Rfam family: Bacterial small subunit ribosomal RNA
Source: RNAcentral
UACGGAAGGCAGCAGUGGGGAAUAUUGCACAAUGGGCGAAAGCCUGAUGCAGCUAUGCCGCGUGUAUGAAGAAGGCCUUAGGGUUGUAAAGUACUUUCAUCGGGGAGGAAAAAACAAAACUAAUAAUUUUAUUUCUUGACGUUACCCGAAAAAGAAGCACCGGCUAACUCCGUGCCAGCAGCCGCGGUAAUACGGAGGGUGCUAGCGUUAAUCAGAAUUACUGGGCGUAAAGAGCACGUAGGUGGUUUUUUUAAAGUCAGAUGUGAAAUCCCUGGGCUUAACCUAGGAACUGCAUUUUGAAACUGAAAUACUAGAGUAUCGUAGAGGGAGGUAGAACUCUAGGUGUAGCGGUGAAAUGCGUAGAUAUCUGGAGGAAUACCUGUGGCGAAAGCGGCCUCCUAAACGAAUACUGACACUGAGGGUGCGAAAGCGUGGGGAGCAAACAGGGAUUAGAUACC